AGAGUUUGAUCAUGGCUCAGGACGAACGCUGGCGGCGUGCUUAGCACAUGCAAGUCGAACGGAAAGGCCCUUCGGGGUACUCGAGUGGCGAACGGGUGAGUAACACGUGGGUGAUCUGCCCUGCACUUUGGGAUAAGCCUGGGAAACUGGGUCUAAUACCGAAUAGGACCACGCGCUUCAUGGUGUGUGGUGGAAAGCUUUUGCGGUGUGGGAUGGGCCCGCGGCCUAUCAGCUUGUUGGUGGGGUAAUGGCCUACCAAGGCGACGACGGGUAGCCGGCCUGAGAGGGUGACCGGCCACACUGGGACUGAGAUACGGCCCAGACUCCUACGGGAGGCAGCAGUGGGGAAUAUUGCACAAUGGGCGCAAGCCUGAUGCAGCGACGCCGCGUGAGGGAUGACGGCCUUCGGGUUGUAAACCUCUUUCAAUAGGGACGAAGCGCAAGUGACGGUACCUAUAGAAGAAGCACCGGCCAACUACGUGCCAGCAGCCGCGGUAAUACGUAGGGUGCGAGCGUUGUCCGGAAUUACUGGGCGUAAAGAGCUCGUAGGUGGUUUGUCGCGUUGUUCGUGAAAACUCACAGCUUAACUGUGGGCGUGCGGGCGAUACGGGCAGACUAGAGUACUGCAGGGGAGACUGGAAUUCCUGGUGUAGCGGUGGAAUGCGCAGAUAUCAGGAGGAACACCGGUGGCGAAGGCGGGUCUCUGGGCAGUAACUGACGCUGAGGAGCGAAAGCGUGGGGAGCGAACAGGAUUAGAUACCCCGGUAGUCCAA
Molecule: ribosomal RNA, 773 nt
Filed under: uncultured bacterium
Lineage: Bacteria
Description: bacterial SSU rRNA
Rfam family: Bacterial small subunit ribosomal RNA
Source: RNAcentral